Oncorhynchus tshawytscha (Chinook salmon) is the source of this 929-nucleotide long non-coding RNA. The record is from Ensembl. Lineage: Eukaryota; Metazoa; Chordata; Actinopteri; Salmoniformes; Salmonidae.
GAUUUAUUAUUGUUCUUGUGGCUCUUGGGGAUAUUUUGGAAGGGCGUCCACUUCUAGGCCGACUUGCUGUCAUGUUAUAUGCUCUCCAUUUGUAAAUGCCUCACAGAGGACUGAGCUCAAAUCUUUUAAAGAGGAUUUUAUAGCCUUCUCCCAGACUGAUGUGCUCUCACUACCCUCGUCCUGAUGUCCUCUGAGAUCUCCUUUCCUGUUGGCAUGGUGUGCUUUGCAUUCACCUGGAUGGGUAACACCAAACUGACCAGGUUUCUUAUCUCUAUUAUCAUAGUCCAGCCCAAACUCUGUCCUAACGAUCUUUCCUUUAUUGGUUCAUUUGGUACCCAAGUAUGUACCCACCUUAUUCGACAUACUUACUGAUUUAACCAAUGCAACUUGGGGUUUAAUUAUUUUUGCACCUGCAAUAAUUCCUUUAAAAACAAAACAUUCUACUACACGCAUGAUUUCUUCUGCAACAACAUAUGGUAUUGGUAAAUAUUAACCUGUUAUGUCAGAUAAAAAAGAUUGAUUCUGAUUCAAUUAAGAUUUUAAUGUAAAAACUACAAUAUAUCUGUAAUUGCACAAGGGGAUCACAUACUUUCAAGUAGUACUGUAAUUUGUUUAUUGUCUUUAGCGGAGAGCCUCUGCUGCUGAGCAUGCUCUGGCCAUGGAGAAGAAUGAGGCAGCGCUACUCCGCCAGAGGAUUUUUCAACUAACCUCUAAGAAGCUGAAAAUAGGAAAACCUGGGUUCCUGAUCAAGACCAUCCCCAAGCCCCCGAAAACAACCAAGACCAACAAACCCUUCUUGAAAACCUGCAAAGUUCUGAAAGCUUUCAAAGCACUAAUGAAGAUAUGAAGGCAAUGCAUACAAUUGUACAUUUGGUGCAAUUAUUCUCAGGACACGGGGUGAAGCAGAGUACAAUAAAUAAAUCCAGAUG